Molecule: long non-coding RNA, 1136 nt
Organism: Impatiens glandulifera
Lineage: Eukaryota; Viridiplantae; Streptophyta; Magnoliopsida; Ericales; Balsaminaceae
Exons: 4
Source: RefSeq, a predicted model, not a curated record
UCUCACUCAAGCAGCCGGUCAAUCUCUGUCCAGGGAGUCUGAAACCGCCGUCGCCGUCGUCGAUCUUCCAUGCAAAAAUCGUCUUCUAGCCGCUUAGAUUAGUCUCUAUCGGAAGAGAAGCGAUUAUCACCGUGUACCUGCAGAAUUGGAAGAAAUUACUUCUAACCUCUACAACACAUAAUGCAUCACGGCUCAUUUCCUGGUAGUCACCAACCAGCGAGUCAACUAGAGAGAGAAAUGUCCAAUCAGGCUGCAGAACUCGAACAACUUUUGAUAGACAACCAUAGACUAGGUUCUUCACUGAUGGUGUUAAGACAGGACCUAGUUAAUGCUCAGCGUGAAAUUGGAGGAGUUCGUGCACAUACACUUAACAUUCAGCAAAGAGGGCGACAUAGAGGUCAAGGGCUUUCUUGAUUCGAUUGGUAAAAUGGGUGUUGAUUUAAGAGCAGGAGAGAGAGUGAAGGAGGAACUGCUGCAAGCCACACAAAUGGCACACAGCUUGGACAAGGAAAAUCAGGAACUAACGCCAAAAUCACAAGAGGCUACUGAAGAGCUGAAAAACUUCCAUGCGGAUGGCAAAAGUAUACAGGAAAUGCAUGUAGAACUCCAUAAUCUAAAACAAGACGCCAUAAUCUGCACGCCACUUUUGAGCUGGAUAAAGUUCAGAACCUGAAGGAAGUGCAAGAGAUGGAAGAGAGGGAGAGAGACAUAGUAAGAUUGGUGGAAAAAUUGGAGAAGUUGCGUGCUGAAAUGGGACGUGUAUAACGCAAAUGCACCAAGUGGCCUAAAUCCUAAUUAUGGCCCUCUCUACCCUCAUUUCCGUUCAUGGUGUUGGUCCAUCCGAGACCUACGAGUACCACAUCAACCUCGAAUGAACUAAUUUAGAGCUGCGCUGUCGGUUUCUUCUGCUUGGAAAGGAGUAUAAAGAGUUUUCAUGGUCUAAUAUUUAGAGGUAUUCCCGAUAUAACUUAAUCUUGAGAACUUGGAAGAACAUACAAAAGCUGAAAGGAAAGAAAACCAGUAACUGAUGUUUGUUGUUUUUUGGUAUAGAAGAUGGAAGCUGACUAUUUUGGAUAUUUUAUUCUUUGAUUUAUUAGCUUACUAGAAUGUUGGAAACGACAACUUCUUUUGACUGA